UACAGAGGGGGCAAGCGUUGUUCGGAAUUACUGGGCGUAAAGGGCGCGUAGGCGGCCUGUUAAGUCGAACGUGAAAUCCCUGGGCUCAACCCAGGAACUGCGUCCGAUACUGGCAGGCUUGAAUUCGGGAGAGGGAUGUGGAAUUCCAGGUGUAGCGGUGAAAUGCGUAGAUAUCUGGAGGAACACCGGUGGCGAAGGCGGGUCUCUGGGCCGAUACUGACGCUGAGGAGCGAAAGCGUGGGGAGCGAACAGG
This 253-nucleotide ribosomal RNA is filed under the name uncultured bacterium. RNAcentral describes it as "partial 16S ribosomal RNA". It matches the Rfam family "Bacterial small subunit ribosomal RNA", at positions 524 to 776 of the family's 1533-position model. The record is from RNAcentral.